This is a long non-coding RNA of Salvelinus fontinalis (brook trout), 883 nucleotides long. RefSeq lists it as uncharacterized. NCBI's taxonomy places the organism in Eukaryota, Metazoa, Chordata, Actinopteri, Salmoniformes, Salmonidae. The record is from RefSeq and is a predicted model, not a curated record. The transcript has 4 exons.
GAUAACCACUACACUACGGAAACUGAAUGAGUGCAAUACUAAGGGCGUGACUCACCUUGGCUGGGUGGGGCAUUUAUCGCUCUCAGAACCUAAUGAAAUCAGAAAUGACUUUGUCCAUUAAUUAAGCAACAAGGCUUGAGAACCUGGGAAUUAUCGUGUGAAUAACUCCUAAAUAAGGGCUGAUUCACCGUAGGGAUGGUUUGGCUGGGCAGCCGGCUCUUGGAAGAGUCUUGGUGGUUCCAAACUUCUUCCAUUUAAGAAUGAUGGAAGCCACUGUGUUCUUGGGUACCUUCAAUGCUGCAGAAAUGUUUUGGUGCCUUUCCCCACAUCUGUGCCUCGACACAAUCCUGUCUCGGAGCUCUAGGGACAAUUCCUUCGACCUCAUGGCUUGGUUUAUGCUCUGACGUGCACUGUCAACUGUGGAACCUUACGUAGACAGACAGCUGUGUGCCUUUCCAAAUCAUGACCAAUCAAUUGAAUUUACCACAGGUGGACUCCAAUCAAGUUGUAGAAACAUCUCAAGGAUGAUCAAUGGAAACAGGAUGGACCUGAGCUCAACUUCCAGCCUCAUAGCAAAGGGUCUGAAAACGUGGACUCCAAUCAAGUUGUAGAAACAUCUCAAGGAUGAUCAAUGGAAACAGGAUGGACCUGAGCUCAACUUCCAGCCUCAUAGCAAAGGGUCUGAAAACGUGGACUCCAAUCAAGUUGUAGAAACAUCUCAAGGAUGAUCAAUGGAAACAGGAUGGACCUGAGCUCAACUUCCAGCCUCAUAGCAAAGGGUCUGAAAACGUGGACUCCAAUCAAGUUGUAGAAACAUCUCAAGGAUGAUCAAUGGAAACAGGAUGGACCUGAGCUCAAUUUCCAGCCUCAUAGCAAAGGGUCU